RNAcentral lists this ribosomal RNA (605 nucleotides) under uncultured bacterium. RNAcentral's name for it is "bacterial SSU rRNA". The stretch from base 1 to 522 matches the Rfam family "Bacterial small subunit ribosomal RNA", at positions 338 to 873 of the family's 1533-position model. The record is from RNAcentral.
CCUACGGGAGGCAGCAGUAGGGAAUUUUCCACAAUGGGCGAAAGCCUGAUGGAGCAAUACCGCGUGCAGGAUGAAGGCCUUCGGGUCGUAAACUGCUUUUAUGUGCGAAGAAUUUGACGGUAACACAUGAAUAAGGAUCGGCUAACUACGUGCCAGCAGCCGCGGUCAUACGUAGGAUCCAAGCGUUAUCCGGAAUUACUGGGCGUAAAGAGUUGCGUAGGUGGCAUUAUAAGUGGAGCGUGAAAGCGUGCGGCUCAACCGCAUUAUUGCGUUCCAAACUGUGAAGCUUGAGUAUGGGAGAGGUAGAUGGAAUUUCUAGUGUAGGAGUGAAAUCCGUAGAUAUUAGAAGGAACACCGAUGGCGUAGGCAGUCUACUGGCCCAUUACUGACACUAAGGCACGAAAGCGUGGCGAGCAAACGGGAUUAGAUACCCCGGUAGUCCACGCUGUAAACUAUGGAUGCUAGCUGUGACACACACUCGACCUCGUGUCGUAGUCGAGUAACGUACGUAGUACANCCGCCGUCGGGUAGGUACGGUCGCGAGAGUAACGUACGAAGAAGUAGACGGCGUGAGACGUGCCGACGGACGACGACGAGGGAGGAGG